Molecule: non-coding RNA, 159 nt
Organism: Triticum aestivum (bread wheat)
Lineage: Eukaryota; Viridiplantae; Streptophyta; Magnoliopsida; Poales; Poaceae
Source: Rfam
CAACUACUCCCUUUGUCCCAAAAUUCUUGUCUUAGAUUUGUCUAGAUACGGAUGUAUCAAGUUGUCUAGAUAGGGAUGUAUCUAAUACUAAAAUGUGACAUGAUACAUCCGUAUCUAGACAAAUCUAAGACAAGAAUUUUGGGACGGAGGGAGCACUUU